CAGCAGCCGCGGUAAUACGUAGGGUGCGAGCGUUAAUCGGAAUUACUGGGCGUAAAGCGUGCGCAGGCGGUUAUGUAAGACAGUUGUGAAAUCCCCGGGCUCAACCUGGGAACUGCAUCUGUGACUGCAUAGCUAGAGUACGGUAGAGGGGGAUGGAAUUCCGCGUGUAGCAGUGAAAUGCGUAGAUAUGCGGAGGAACACCGAUGGCGAAGGCAAUCCCCUGGACCUGUACUGACGCUCAUGCACGAAAGCGUGGGGAGCGAACAGGAUUAGAUACCCCGGUAGUCCCUGUCUCUUAUAC
RNAcentral lists this ribosomal RNA (301 nucleotides) under uncultured bacterium. RNAcentral describes it as "partial 16S ribosomal RNA". It matches the Rfam family "Bacterial small subunit ribosomal RNA", at positions 509 to 807 of the family's 1533-position model. The record is from RNAcentral.